AGCGGAGGAAAAGAAACCAACAGGGAUUGCCUCAGUAACGGCGAGUGAAGCGGCAACAGCUCAAAUUUGAAAUCUGGCCCCCCGGGUCCGAGUUGUAAUUUGCAGAGGAUGCUUUUGGCGCGGUGCCUUCCGAGUUCCCUGGAACGGGACGCCAUAGAGGGUGAGAGCCCCGUACGGUUGGACACCAAGCCUGUGUAAAGCUCCUUCGACGAGUCGAGUAGUUUGGGAAUGCUGCUCAAAAUGGGAGGUAUAUUUCUUCUAAAGCUAAAUACCGGCCAGAGACCGAUAGCGCACAAGUAGAGUGAUCGAAAGAUGAAAAGCACUUUGAAAAGAGGGUUAAACAGCACGUGAAAUUGUUAAAAGGGAAGCGCUUGUGACCAGACUUGCGCCCGGUGAAUCACCCAGCUCUCGCGGCUGGGGCACUUUGCCGGCUCAGGCCAGCAUCAGCUCGCCGUCGGGGACAAAAGCUUCGGGAACGUAGCUCUCUUCGGGGAGUGUUAUAGCCCGCUGCACAAUACCCUUCGGCGGGCUGAGGUACGCGCUCCGCAAGGAUGCUGGCGUAAUGGUCAUCAGCGACCCGUCUUGAAACACGGACCAAGGAGUCAACCUUAUGUGC
This 616-nucleotide ribosomal RNA is filed under the name Colletotrichum gloeosporioides. RNAcentral describes it as "LSU rRNA". It matches the Rfam family "Eukaryotic large subunit ribosomal RNA", at positions 49 to 687 of the family's 3401-position model. The record is from RNAcentral. Lineage: Eukaryota; Fungi; Ascomycota; Sordariomycetes; Glomerellales; Glomerellaceae.